GCUGAUAUAGCUCGAAGUUGGUAGAGCGCGCCGCUUAAAAGGGUGAGGUCGGCGGAUUCGAAUCUGCCUAUCAGCACCA
Molecule: transfer RNA, 79 nt
Filed under: Salmonella enterica subsp. enterica
Lineage: Bacteria; Pseudomonadati; Pseudomonadota; Gammaproteobacteria; Enterobacterales; Enterobacteriaceae
Description: tRNA-Leu
Rfam family: tRNA
About the family: Transfer RNA (tRNA) molecules are approximately 80 nucleotides in length.
Source: RNAcentral